This 70-nucleotide transfer RNA is filed under the name human gut metagenome. It matches the Rfam family "tRNA". Rfam says of the family: Transfer RNA (tRNA) molecules are approximately 80 nucleotides in length. Their secondary structure includes four short double-helical elements and three loops (D, anti-codon, and T loops). RNAcentral also lists the same sequence under 2 other names. The record is from RNAcentral.
GGGGUGUAGCUCAAUGGAUAGAGUAACGCACUACGAAUGCGCAGGUUGGGGGUUCGAGUCCCUCUACCCU